GACGAACGCUGGCGGCGUGCUUAACACAUGCAAGUCGAACGGAAAGGCCCUGCUUUUGUGGGGUGCUCGAGUGGCGAACGGGUGAGUAACACGUGAGUAACCUGCCCUUGACUUUGGGAUAACUUCAGGAAACUGGGGCUAAUACCGGAUAGGAGCUCCUGCUGCAUGGUGGGGGUUGGAAAGUUUCGGCGGUUGGGGAUGGACUCGCGGCUUAUCAGCUUGUUGGUGGGGUAGUGGCUUACCAAGGCUUUGACGGGUAGCCGGCCUGAGAGGGUGACCGGCCACAUUGGGACUAAGAUACGGCCCAGACUCCUACGGGAGGCAGCAGUGGGGAAUAUUGCACAAUGGGCGGAAGCCUGAUGCAGCAACGCCGCGUGUGGGAUGACGGCCUUCGGGUUGUAAACCGCUUUCGCCUGUGACGAAGCGUGAGUGACGGUAAUGGGUAAAGAAGCACCGGCUAACUACGUG
Molecule: ribosomal RNA, 468 nt
Filed under: uncultured bacterium
Lineage: Bacteria
Description: partial 16S ribosomal RNA
Rfam family: Bacterial small subunit ribosomal RNA
Source: RNAcentral